Molecule: ribosomal RNA, 1470 nt
Filed under: metagenome
Description: bacterial SSU rRNA
Rfam family: Bacterial small subunit ribosomal RNA
Source: RNAcentral
AGAGUUUGAUCCUGGCUCAGGACGAACGCUGGCGGCACGCUUAACACAUGCAAGUCGAACGAGAGAAGAGGAGCUUGCUUUUCUGAUCUAGUGGCGGACGGGUGAGUAACACGUGAGCAAUCUGCCUUUCAGAGGGGGAUACCGAUUGGAAACGAUCGUUAAUACCGCAUAACAUAAUUGAACCGCAUGAUUUGAUUAUCAAAGAUUUAUCGCUGAAAGAUGAGCUCGCGUCUGAUUAGCUAGUUGGUAAGGUAACGGCUUACCAAGGCGACGAUCAGUAGCCGGACUGAGAGGUUGAUCGGCCACAUUGGGACUGAGACACGGCCCAGACUCCUACGGGAGGCAGCAGUGGGGAAUAUUGCACAAUGGAGGAAACUCUGAUGCAGCGGUGCCGCGUGAGGGAAGAAGGUUUUAGGAUUGUAAACCUCUGUCUUCAGGGACGAAAAAAGACGGUACCUGAGGAGGAAGCUCCGGCUAACUACGUGCCAGCAGCCGCGGUAAUACGUAGGGAGCGAGCGUUGUCCGGAAUUACUGGGUGUAAAGGGAGCGUAGGCGGGAUCGCAAGUCAGAUGUGAAAACUAUGGGCUUAACCCAUAAACUGCAUUUGAAACUGUGGUUCUUGAGUGAAGUAGAGGUAAGCGGAAUUCCUAGUGUAGCGGUGAAAUGCGUAGAUAUUAGGAGGAACAUCAGUGGCGAAGGCGGCUUACUGGGCUUUAACUGACGCUGAGGCUCGAAAGCGUGGGGAGCAAACAGGAUUAGAUACCCUGGUAGUCCACGCCGUAAACGAUGAUUACUAGGUGUGGGGGGACUGACCCCUUCCGUGCCGCAGCAAACGCAAUAAGUAAUCCACCUGGGGAGUACGACCGCAAGGUUGAGGCUCAAAGGAAUUGACGGGGGCCCGCACAAGCAGUGGAGUAUGUGGAUUAAUUCGAAGCAACGCGAAGAACCUUACCAGGUCUUGACAUCGUAUGCAUAGCUCAGAGAUGAGUGAAAUCUCUUCGGAGACAUAUAGACAGGUGGUGCAUGGUUGUCGUCAGCUCGUGUCGUGAGAUGUUGGGUUAAGUCCCGCAACGAGCGCAACCCUUACUGUUAGUUGCUACGCAAGAGCACUCUAGCAGGACUGCCGUUGACAAAACGGAGGAAGGUGGGGAUGACGUCAAAUCAUCAUGCCCCUUAUGACCUGGGCCUCACACGUACUACAAUGGCUGUCAACAGAGGGAAGCAAAGCCGCGAGGUGGAGCGAACCCCUAAAAGCAGUCCUAGUUCGGAUUGUAGGCUGCAACCCGCCUACAUGAAGUCGGAAUUGCUAGUAAUCGCAGAUCAGCAUGCUGCGGUGAAUACGUUCCCGGGCCUUGUACACACCGCCCGUCACGCCAUGGGAGUCGGUAACACCCGAAGCCUGUAGUCUAACCGCAAGGAGGACGCAGUCGAAGGUGGGAUUGAUGACUGGGGUGAAGUCGUAACAAGGUA